This 253-nucleotide ribosomal RNA is filed under the name uncultured bacterium. RNAcentral's name for it is "partial 16S ribosomal RNA". It matches the Rfam family "Bacterial small subunit ribosomal RNA", at positions 524 to 776 of the family's 1533-position model. The record is from RNAcentral.
UACGAAGGGGGCUAGCGUUGCUCGGAAUCACUGGGCGUAAAGCGCACGUAGGCGGCUUCUUAAGUCAGGGGUGAAAUCCUGGAGCUCAACUCCAGAACUGCCCUUGAUACUGAGGAACUCGAGUCCGGAAGAGGUGAGUGGAACUCCGAGUGUAGAGGUGAAAUUCGUAGAUAUUCGGAAGAACACCAGUGGCGAAGGCGGCUCACUGGUCCGGUACUGACGCUGAGGUGCGAAAGCGUGGGGAGCAAACAGG